RNAcentral lists this ribosomal RNA (496 nucleotides) under uncultured bacterium. RNAcentral describes it as "partial 16S ribosomal RNA". It matches the Rfam family "Bacterial small subunit ribosomal RNA", at positions 28 to 506 of the family's 1533-position model. The record is from RNAcentral.
GAUGAACGCUGGCGGCGUGCCUAAUACAUGCAAGUCGAGCGAACGGACGAGAAGCUUGCUUCUCUGAUGUUAGCGGCGGACGGGUGAGUAACACGUGGAUAACCUACCUAUAAGACUGGGAUAACUUCGGGAAACCGUAGCUAAUACCGGAUAAUAUUUUGAACCGCAUGGUUCAAAAGUGAAAGACGGUCUUGCUGUCACUUAUAGAUGGAUCCGCGCUGCAUUAGCUAGUUGGUAAGGUAACGGCUUACCAAGGCAACGAUGCAUAGCCGACCUGAGAGGGGUAUCGGCCACACUGGAACUGGGAACCGGUCCAGCCUCCUACGGGGGGCAGCGGUGGGGAAUCUUCCGCAAUGGGCGAAAGCCUGACGGAGCAACGCCGGGUGAGUGAUGAAGGUCUUCGGAUCGUAAAACUCUGUUAUUAGGGAAGAACAUAUGUGUAAGUAACUGUGCCCAUUUUGACGGUACCUAAUCAGAAAGCCCCGGCAAACCACGU